AGGGCGAGGACUACCGGGGUAUCUAAUCSYGUUUGCUCCCCUGGCUUUCGCUCCUCAGCGUCAAUAUUGGUCCAGGAUGCCGCCUUCGCCACCGGUGUUCCUCCAGAUAUCUACGCAUUUCACCGCUACACCKGGAAUUCCGCAUCCCUCUCCCAAAUUCAAGCCAUCCAGUAUCACACGCAUUUCCCGGGUUAASCCGAGGGAUUUCACGUAAGACUUAGUUGGCCGCCUACGAGCCCUUUACGCCCA
RNAcentral lists this ribosomal RNA (249 nucleotides) under uncultured bacterium. RNAcentral describes it as "partial 16S ribosomal RNA". The record is from RNAcentral.